GCCGACUUAGCUCAAUAGGUAGAGCAACUGACUUGUAAUCAGUAGGUUACGGGUUCAAUUCCUGUAGUCGGCACCA
This 76-nucleotide transfer RNA is filed under the name Mycoplasmatota bacterium. RNAcentral describes it as "Tenericutes bacterium tRNA-Thr". It matches the Rfam family "tRNA". From Rfam's summary of the family: Transfer RNA (tRNA) molecules are approximately 80 nucleotides in length. Their secondary structure includes four short double-helical elements and three loops (D, anti-codon, and T loops). RNAcentral also lists the same sequence under 3 other names. Lineage: Bacteria; Bacillati; Mycoplasmatota. The record is from RNAcentral.